GCAGACACAUUCCAGCCAAUCAGCAGCAGACCCUCCCUCCCAGACCCUCCCACCUCCUGGACAGCAUCCAUUGUGAAGCUGCAUUCUUAGUGAGCUGUCCAGGAGGUGGGAGGGUAUGGGAGGGAGGGUCUGCUGCUGAUUGGCUGGAAUGUGUCUG
This 157-nucleotide microRNA precursor is filed under the name Pelobates cultripes (western spadefoot toad). Lineage: Eukaryota; Metazoa; Chordata; Amphibia; Anura; Pelobatidae. The record is from RNAcentral.